AUGCCCCAAGCCUCAGUUUCCCCACUUGUUGUGAGGCUUGAGUGCUCUAACACAUCAAGGCAUCCCAGAACAGCGCUUGGCAGAGACUCACGGUUUAUCAGUGUGAGCUGUCGUUAUUGGAAAGUGGGGUGGAGUCGGGUUUGGAUUCCCCCAGGAGCAGAGACAGAAACAAAAGGAUUCAAGGGAGACACGAGACAUCAAUCUGUAUAUGUAAGAAGGACACCGGUUCCAUCCAGAAAGGCGCGGGCAGCUCGAAGCAGGAGAGGGGCUUCCAGGUCACAGCCCCACUUCGUAGUCAUCAGUCAUCGUAGUCAUCGUCAUCAUCAUCGUCAUCGCAGGAGUCCUUAUGAGAGGGAGGCAGGAGGGUCAGCGUCAGCAAGGAGAUGGUUGAUGGAGGCAGAGGUCAGGGCGAUGCGACUGCUGGCUUUGAAGAUGGCUGUGAGCCAGGGACUGCAGGUGGCCUCCAAAGGCUGGAGAAGCGAGGAAACAGAUUCUCCCCUAAAGCCUCCAGAAAGGAACCGUUCUGCCCACACUUUGACUUCUCAAAACUGUAAAAGAAUAAAUGUGUGUUGUUUCAAGCCACUAAAUUUGUGGUCAUUUGUUACAGCCACCAUAGGAAUCUCACACAGAACCUCAGUGAGCAGGUGA
RNAcentral lists this long non-coding RNA (648 nucleotides) under Papio anubis (olive baboon). RNAcentral describes it as "lncRNA (ENSPANG00000039594.1)". Lineage: Eukaryota; Metazoa; Chordata; Mammalia; Primates; Cercopithecidae. The record is from RNAcentral.